This 158-nucleotide ribosomal RNA is filed under the name Gaeumannomyces radicicola. RNAcentral's name for it is "5.8S ribosomal RNA". It matches the Rfam family "5.8S ribosomal RNA". Rfam says of the family: 5.8S ribosomal RNA (5.8S rRNA) is a component of the large subunit of the eukaryotic ribosome. The record is from RNAcentral. Lineage: Eukaryota; Fungi; Ascomycota; Sordariomycetes; Magnaporthales; Magnaporthaceae.
AAACUUUCAACAACGGAUCUCUUGGUUCUGGCAUCGAUGAAGAACGCAGCGAAAUGCGAUAAGUAAUGUGAAUUGCAGAAUUCAAUGAAUCAUCGAAUCUUUGAACGCACAUUGCGCCCGCCGGUAUUCCGGCGGGCAUGCCUGUCCGAGCGUCAUUU